UCCACCCCUCCGGAUGAACUUGGUUCUCGAUAGGCUCAGCAAGCGGAGGGUGGUAGUUACCUGGGUUUACCUGGCUAGCUAAGUGCAUAUCCUUCUCAUCAUAUUCACUGAAAGCAAGUGGAGAAUAGGGCCUAAAAGGAGCUUGAGGUGCAGGCUGCGUACGGUCUCUAUCCGGCCAUGUGGUUGGCCGUGCAUUGUUG
This 200-nucleotide long non-coding RNA is filed under the name Ricinus communis (castor bean). RNAcentral's name for it is "long non-coding RNA (RCOM_LNC002766)". The record is from RNAcentral. Lineage: Eukaryota; Viridiplantae; Streptophyta; Magnoliopsida; Malpighiales; Euphorbiaceae.